Molecule: ribosomal RNA, 477 nt
Filed under: Veillonella dispar
Lineage: Bacteria; Bacillati; Bacillota; Negativicutes; Veillonellales; Veillonellaceae
Description: bacterial SSU rRNA
Rfam family: Bacterial small subunit ribosomal RNA
Source: RNAcentral
GACGAACGCUGGCGGCGUGCUUAACACAUGCAAGUCGAACGAAGAGCGAUGGAAGCUUGCUUCUAUCAAUCUUAGUGGCGAACGGGUGAGUAACGCGUAAUCAACCUGCCCUUCAGAGGGGGACAACAGUUGGAAACGACUGCUAAUACCGCAUACGAUCUAAUCUCGGCAUCGAGGAUGGAUGAAAGGUGGCCUCUAUUUAUAAGCUAUCACUGAGGGAGGGGAUUGCGUCUGAUUAGCUAGUUGGAGGGGUAACGGCCCACCAAGGCGAUGAUCAGUAGCCGGUCUGAGAGGAUGAACGGCCACAUUGGGACUGAGACACGGCCCAGACUCCUACGGGAGGCAGCAGUGGGGAAUCUUCCGCAAUGGACGAAAGUCUGACGGAGCAACGCCGCGUGAGUGAUGACGGCCUUCGGGUUGUAAAGCUCUGUUAAUCGGGACGAAAGGCCUUCUUGCGAAUAGUUAGAAGGAUUGACG